AUCACUUCUCGGCCUUUUAGCUAAGAUCAAAGUGUAGUACCUGUUCUUAUCUUAAUUUAAUAUCAUUAUUAUAUAAUAUUUGGAAAUGAAAAUAAUUGUAAAAGGGCAUUUUUA
Molecule: small nuclear RNA, 114 nt
Organism: Scleropages formosus (Asian bonytongue)
Lineage: Eukaryota; Metazoa; Chordata; Actinopteri; Osteoglossiformes; Osteoglossidae
Gene: U2
Rfam family: U2 spliceosomal RNA
About the family: U2 is a small nuclear RNA (snRNA) component of the spliceosome (involved in pre-mRNA splicing).
Source: Ensembl